RNAcentral lists this long non-coding RNA (290 nucleotides) under Physcomitrium patens. Its description in RNAcentral is "long non-coding RNA (PPAT_LNC011013)". Lineage: Eukaryota; Viridiplantae; Streptophyta; Bryopsida; Funariales; Funariaceae. The record is from RNAcentral.
UGACUACUCACAUGCCCCAAUUCAUGCUCAAUUAUAAUUUCCAUGGAAGUUUUUACUUACAAGGAUCUUAGCAAUUUUUUUGUGAAUUUCUUCAAAAUGAGAAUUUCAUUGCUUCUCUUGUAUUUUGAAGGAGAGGUUGCUGAUCUUAUUUUCUUCACUCCACGAGGUAAAUCCGGUGCCACCAUGGCAUUAAAGAGACUCCCAUUAAGUAGAAGAACCACCAUGCUACUUAAAUUUACCAAAUUUGGAAGAAAAAUCCAAAAUUACCAUUGCUAACUUCCUUGAAUCUU